This 82-nucleotide transfer RNA is filed under the name Cervus elaphus hippelaphus. RNAcentral describes it as "tRNA-Leu". Lineage: Eukaryota; Metazoa; Chordata; Mammalia; Artiodactyla; Cervidae. The record is from RNAcentral.
GGUAGUGUGGCCACAUGGUCUAAGGUGCUGGGUUAAGGCUCCAGUCUCUUCGGGGGCGUUGGUUUGAAUCCCAGUGCUGCCA